AACGUAGGUGGCGAGCGUUAUCCGGAUUCACUGGGCGUAAAGGGCACGCAGGCGGCUCGGCAGGUAGGGCAUGAAAUCUCCCGGCUUAACUGGGAGAGGCUGUCCUAAACCGCUGGGCUUGAGGGCGGGAGAGGGAAGUGGAAUUGCCGGUGUAGUGGUGAAAUGCGUAGAGAUCGGCAGGAACACCAGUGGCGAAGGCGACUUCCUGGUCCGCCCCUGACGCUCAUGUGCGAAAGCUAGGGUAGCGAACGGG
This 253-nucleotide ribosomal RNA is filed under the name uncultured bacterium. RNAcentral describes it as "partial 16S ribosomal RNA". It matches the Rfam family "Bacterial small subunit ribosomal RNA", at positions 524 to 776 of the family's 1533-position model. The record is from RNAcentral.